GGAUGUGAGGGUGAUCUGGCUGUGACAUCUGUCACCCCAUUGAUCAAUAGUGUUGAUUUUGGCUGAUCUGGCUGGCUAAGCAGGUGUCCCCUUCCUCUUUAUCAUUCCAUGUCUGAAGAGGACAACUUUCCAUAGUAGAAGAGGAAGAGGACUGGUCUUCAGUUAAGGGUAUAUGAGUAGCUAUGCUCCACCACUGCUUUUUCCUGCAGACAAGCUCUAUUCCCAGAGCUCAGUGGGACUGAGUUGAAACUG
Molecule: small nuclear RNA, 252 nt
Filed under: Castor canadensis (American beaver)
Lineage: Eukaryota; Metazoa; Chordata; Mammalia; Rodentia; Castoridae
Description: 7SK RNA (ENSCCNG00000004322.1)
Rfam family: 7SK RNA
About the family: 7SK was discovered as an abundant small nuclear RNA in the mid-70s but a possible function has only recently been suggested. Two independent studies have found that 7SK RNA binds the CDK9/cyclin T complex (known as elongation factor P-TEFb).
Source: Rfam by way of RNAcentral